AACGCUAGCGGCAGGCUUAAUACAUGCAAGUCGAGGGGCAUCAAGGUACACGAAAGUGUAUUGUUGGCGAACCGGCGGACGGGUGAGUAAUAGGUAGGUAACCUACCUCAUACUGAGGCAUAGCUGGGAGAAAUUCCAGGUAAUUCCUCAUGAGGUUAUAUGACACAUGUGAUAUAAUCAAAGGUAUCGCAAGGUACUGGUAUGAGAUGGGCUUACUGACCAUUAGCUAGUUGGUGAGAUAAGAGCUCACCAAGGCGAAGAUGGUUAGGGGUUUUGAGAGAGAGAUCCCCCACAUUGGAACUGAGAUACGGUCCAGACUCCUACGGGAGGCAGCAGUAGGGAAUAUUGGGCAAUGGGCGGAAGCCUGACCCAGCCAUGCCGCGUGAAGGAAGACGGCCUUAUGGGUUGUAAACUUCUUUACUAUGCGACUAACUAGAUUUACGAGAUAAUUCUAUAGAAUGUAGCAUAGCAAAAAGCACCGGCUAACUCCGUG
Molecule: ribosomal RNA, 493 nt
Filed under: uncultured bacterium
Lineage: Bacteria
Description: bacterial SSU rRNA
Rfam family: Bacterial small subunit ribosomal RNA
Source: RNAcentral